RNAcentral lists this ribosomal RNA (183 nucleotides) under Triticum aestivum (bread wheat). RNAcentral's name for it is "partial small subunit ribosomal RNA". The record is from RNAcentral. Lineage: Eukaryota; Viridiplantae; Streptophyta; Magnoliopsida; Poales; Poaceae.
GUUCAGGAGCUAGUGUGCUUAGUGCACACCUAUAAGCCCAAGCUCGUCUUCCUCUCGGAAACUCGGCAAAAUAAUAAGUAUGUUAGGAACCUGAAAUGGAGGCUAGGCCUUCGCCAUUGUAUCAUGCAACCCGGUACUGGAAAAGGUGCCGGCAUUGCUCUAUUCUAUGAUGAGAGUGUUGAA